Molecule: ribosomal RNA, 252 nt
Filed under: uncultured bacterium
Lineage: Bacteria
Description: partial 16S ribosomal RNA
Rfam family: Bacterial small subunit ribosomal RNA
Source: RNAcentral
GACAGAGGUCCCGAGCGUUAGGCGGAAUCACUGGGCUUAAAGCGUGUGUAGGCGGAUCGUUAAGUACCUUGUGAAAUCCCACGGCUUAACCGUGGAACUGCUUGGUAUACUGGCGAUCUUGAGCCACUUAGGGGCUACCGGAACAAAUGGUGGAGCGGUGAAAUGCGUAGAUAUCAUUUGGAACGCCAAUGGUGAAAACAGGUAGCUGGGAGUGUGCUACGCUGAGACACGAAAGCCAGGGGAGCAAACGGG